GUGAGUCAUCGAGUCUUUGAACGCACCUUGCGCUCUCUGGUAUUCCGGAGAGCAUGCCUGUUUGAGUGUCAUGAACUCUUCAACCCACCUAUUUCUUGUAAAUUGUUGUUGGUGUUUGGUAUUUUGAAUUGUCUUGCUGGCCUUUUCGGCUGAAGCUCAUUCGUAAUGCAUUAGCAUCUCAAAUUCGUUUUUCGGAUUGACUCAGCGUGAUAGACUUUCUUCGCUGAGGACAUUAGUUUUUCUAAUGGCCGAUUUUCGUAAAGUAGAAGCUUCUAAUCAAGUAAACUUUUGAUUUAGACCUCAAAUCAGGUAGGAUUACCCGCUGAACUUAAGCAUAUCAAUAAGCGGGGG
Molecule: ribosomal RNA, 351 nt
Filed under: uncultured fungus
Lineage: Eukaryota; Fungi
Description: eukaryotic LSU rRNA
Rfam family: 5.8S ribosomal RNA (bases 1-71)
Source: RNAcentral